UCAAACAUGAUAAAAAAAUAAAGUAAAGAAGAAAUAUUCAUUUGUGAUAGAUGGCAUAAGAUUAUAAGGCAACAUAAAGUUCGGCAUGUUUGUAAGACCACAAAAGACGCGCAUCAAGCACAGCAUAAAAGAAUAGACCAAAAGCAACAUUUAAUAGAUCAGGAUUACAACAAGUCAUUUACAUAGAAAGUUAUGCAUUCUGCAGAUCAAAAGCCGUUAAUAACAAUUAAAGCAUGUCAUUUAUAUCGGAAGAGACCAGUAGCGCAUAGGGCAGCGAGAUAGUACAAAAUACUGAAAGUGAAGUAUUUAUACAGAAGGCUAGUGACACUUAGAUAGCAGUCCACACAAGUUUUAAGGAUUAUAAAAGUCCACGCUAACUAAUACAUCUACCAGAGUCUUCAAUUUUCCUUCUCCAAGAAUGGUUGAAGUUCCUCAUUGCUCCAAGAGAAGUUGUGUAACACUGGCCCAGGAAGAGAUGAAAAAAAUGAUAUUCUUCGAGAAGAUAUCUCAACUCAUUAAAGAUUCAUUAAAUGAUUCAUAUGACAUCUAAAUCUAACAUGCAUUUUUACAACAAUAGAUAUCUGCAAUGACCAAAAAAGGAACUAUCAGGAAGGUGAGUUUAGUGAACUGACAUCAAGAAAUUCAUGCAUAUUUCCUUUAAACAAGUUUGGGGAGUGUGUAUACAGUAGCACUACACAACUAUGAAUUAUAAAAAACAGAGAUGACCACCAUCAUGAGCAAUUCUUGGCAAAGGGAAGACCCGUGUCUCAGGACUCAGUGAAAUAUAAUUCAUUUUUCAGCCUAAAGAUAUACACAUAAAAAAUGAUUGGAUCCUUCUAUCAAAGGUCACAAAAAAUAGCAAUCGAGCUCAAUAUGUUAUUUAGAAGAAAAAAUGGUCAACCAUCUACACAACAUUCAUGAAGCCCUCCAGUUUCAUAGGAAACCCAGGGGAGAAGAAAAGAAACUAAAACACACAUGUGUUUUAUUUCAUUUACAAUCCAUCAAAAGAUGAAUAUAGAGAACUCAUGAUCUGUGAUUAUUAACAACAAUUCAAGUUCUGAUCUAUAGAGCUGGCAAUUAACAUUAAGCACAAUGGAAUAAUCCUCUACUGGUUACUCUCAAUCUAAAAUCAACAGUUAAAUUACUAUUUAUCACCAUCAAGCCAGCAUAUGCGGUUCAUAUAUAAACUAAAUCAAGCUAGCAUACACACUUCAUCUCCAAAUAGGAUUCAUCUCCUGCGGUCUGGUUACCCAAAUCCAACCAAAGAUCCUCACAGAAGAGGAGGGGGAGGGGGUAGAGGAGGAAGAGGAGCUUACUUGCGAGUAGAAGCCAGAGCGCAGCGGCAGGGAGUAUAUGGACCAAUAACAAUAAGUGGCCAGUAAGAUGCGCACCAAGUCAUUCAUCUGGUUCAAGGUACGCUCCAGCUCCCUCUGCAAAAUCAAGUGGGAUCACAAGCAUUGUCGGAUCAAAAAGGCAACACAGUGAUGAAAGCACUAUGUAUGGCUAUCUCACCCUGAGCUCCUUGGCCAACUUGCUCUCUUUCUCCUUGGCCGCCCUAGGGAGCCUCCCCGUCGGCGGAACGGUCUUGACGCGGUCACCAUGGACCUGGCUCGGC
Molecule: long non-coding RNA, 1615 nt
Filed under: Triticum aestivum (bread wheat)
Lineage: Eukaryota; Viridiplantae; Streptophyta; Magnoliopsida; Poales; Poaceae
Description: long non-coding RNA (TAES_LNC017407)
Source: RNAcentral